This 84-nucleotide transfer RNA is filed under the name Gemmatimonadota bacterium. RNAcentral describes it as "tRNA-Tyr". It matches the Rfam family "tRNA". Rfam says of the family: Transfer RNA (tRNA) molecules are approximately 80 nucleotides in length. Their secondary structure includes four short double-helical elements and three loops (D, anti-codon, and T loops). The record is from RNAcentral. Lineage: Bacteria; Pseudomonadati; Gemmatimonadota.
GGUGGGGUACCCAAGCGGCCAACGGGAGCAGACUGUAAAUCUGCCGGCGUAACGCCUACGUAGGUUCGAAUCCUACCCCCACCA